This 497-nucleotide ribosomal RNA is filed under the name uncultured bacterium. RNAcentral's name for it is "bacterial SSU rRNA". It matches the Rfam family "Bacterial small subunit ribosomal RNA", at positions 355 to 871 of the family's 1533-position model. The record is from RNAcentral.
CCGGGAAUCUUGCGCAAUGGACGAAAGUCUGACGCAGCGACACCGCGUGUGGGAUUAAGGUCUUCGGAUCGUAAACCACUGUGGCGAGGGAAGAAUUCUGACUGUACCUCGCUAGAAAGCACCUGCUAACCACGUGCCAGAAGCCUCGGUAAUACGUGGGGUGCAAGCGUUAUCCGGAUUUACUGGGCGUAAAGCGUCCGUCGGCGACUUGGCAAGUCUGUUGUUCAAGCCUGGGGCUUAACUCCAGAUCAGCAACAGAAACUGCCAGGAUUGAAUCUGUUCGGGGAAACUGGAAUUCUCAGUGGAGGGGUGAAAUCCGUAGAUAUUGAGAGGAACGCCAAUCGCGAAGGCAGGUUUCUAGGGCAGUAUUGACGCUCAGGGACGACAGCUAGGGUAGCAAAAGGGAUUAGAGACCCCUGUAGUCCUAGCCGUAAACAUUCCUUGCUAGUUGUUCCGCCUCUGGCGGAAUGACGCAAGCUAACGCGUUAAGCAAGGCG